Molecule: ribosomal RNA, 499 nt
Filed under: uncultured bacterium
Lineage: Bacteria
Description: partial 16S ribosomal RNA
Rfam family: Bacterial small subunit ribosomal RNA
Source: RNAcentral
AUUGAACGCUGGCGGUAUGCUUAACACAUGCAAGUCGAACGAUGAGAAAGAGCUUGCUCUUUCGAUUAGUGGCGGACGGGUGCGUAACGCGUAGGAAUCUACCUAUUAGUGGGGGACAACUUAGGGAAACUUAAGCUAAUACCGCAUACGCCCUAAGGGGGAAAGAAGGCGAUCGCAAGACCUUUUGCUAAUAGAUGAGCCUGCGUAGGAUUAGCUAGUUGGUGGGGUAAAAGCUCACCAAGGCGACGAUCCUUAACUGUUUUGAGAGAAUGAUCAGUCACACUGGAACUGAGACACGGCCCAGACUCCUACGGGAGACAGCAGUGAGGAAUAUUGGACAAUGGGCGAAAGCCUGAUCCAGCAAUACCGCGUGUGUGAAGAAGGCCUUAGGGUUGUAAAGCACUUUCAAUUGGAAGGAAAACCUCGAAGCUAAUACCUUCGAGUUUGACAUUACCUUUAGAAGAAGCACCGGCUAACUCCGUGCCAGCAGCCGCAGUAA